Molecule: long non-coding RNA, 2517 nt
Organism: Cydia pomonella (codling moth)
Lineage: Eukaryota; Metazoa; Arthropoda; Insecta; Lepidoptera; Tortricidae
Exons: 2
Source: RefSeq, a predicted model, not a curated record
AUUUCAGUUUAGUAGUUCACUGAGGAAAUUAUAUAAAAAUAUAGGACCUCAAAGAUUCACCUAUUUAGUUUUUGUAACUUCUUAUAUGAAAAAAACAAAAGUUUUUUUUACUUUAUUGAAUAUGAAAAAAGCUACAAAUGGCGGAAUUAAUGAGUCAUGGCAUUCUCUACAAGUCAACCACAAGGCCGAACAGAAAAAUGGUGUUUCAUUCAUUUUAUAAAAAAAAAAUAGUUGCAAUAAUUUUAUUAGAAACUAAAUAUUUCACUGUCAAAAACGUAAUGUUCUAGCUUUUCAAGACGGCUUCAACUUGAUUGUGACGUCACAAUCAAGUACCAUUUAGUCAGGGGCGUUUCUCACGUAGAGUACAAUUGUCAGACUUUGACUGUCGUUCCUGACUUUUAGAUUCCUUUAAUGCAAUGAGUCUAAUAUAGAUAUUUGGUCCUCAAAACGACCCUGAGAGCCUACCGUAAAUAAACAAAAAAUUUAAUUUUGCAACGCUAAAAACUAGUGACUAUGGGAUUAGUUGCCAAGCUGACCCCUAGCUCCCAUGAGCCGUAGCAAAAAUGCUGGGAUAACGCGAGGAAGAUGAUGAUGAUGAGAUUUUGUUGGGCAAGAACCUCUCGAGAAAGAGCGAUAUAAAGGCAGAUAAAGAAAUUUAAAUUUUUGUUUUUUUCUGUAGGGGCUCUGAUCGACUACUGAUACUAUUAAUAAAACUAGUCAUCUAGCCUAUAAUGUAGAAUGUGGCAACCCUAUCGCAUCCGGCUGGGAGUGGGUAAGCGGGUUAUGUCACGCGGGAAAGAGGUUACUGCCAAGGUGGAUCACGCGGUACAGGCGACGGGUUUACAUAACGUGUGUACAAAAAAUGUACAGCCAAUUUGAUUAACCGCUAUUGAAGUCACAACUCACAAUUUGAAUAACAACUUUACGUGCGAAGAUUACUGCGAAUAACGACAAAUGAAUAUCUAAUCAAGUUAAAAUUUUGAAGGUUUAGGGGCCGUGCGCGUUGAAGGGUCUGCCAUCUUGUAGCCUGAAUCGGAAACAUAAACUAUACAUUGACACUACACACCAAAGUAAGUGCUGCCCUAUACAGUCCACGUGUACAGUCAGCGUCAAAUACUUUGUAGCAACCUAAGUAGCCAAAUAGUUCGGUACACCAUAUAUUUAGUAUGGUGUACCGAACUAUUUGGCCACUUUGACUGCUACAAAGUAUUUGACGCUGACUGUACAGUCAACCAAUUUGAUUCCUAGGCCACUAUAGAACCAUGCCAUAAUGACUUCUACGACAGUACUUAUUGAGUGAUGCAUGUCAAGUAUAUAGUAGUUAAAGCGACAAGGUUCUAUAGUGGACUAGGAUUCAAAUUGGUUGACUGUACGUUUCCUUGUGCAUUGUAGGUUAUGCCAUCUUGUGGUUACAUUGGAAAUUGGAAGCUUAAACUUGACAUUUACAUAUCACGCCAAUAAACAGGGGGUGCCUGUGCUGCCCCCUACAGUUCAUGCACGUUCCCUAUAAUGUACUUGGAACGAUGCAAUUUUGUUUGCGAUUUCCAACUAUUGCAAAAUAUUUGCAAUUUUAAAUUGCCAAAAUCUGUACGUGUUUAUAACAAAAAAGAUAAUAUAUUUUCGGGAAAUGUGAAGACAUGGAUUCGUAAAUAUUUGGGAAAUGGAAUAUAUAUUGAUUUGGCGUACAUUGGACAACAGUAUUAGCACAAUCAAACAGCAUUGAACUGCACAUAAGUAAUUCCUCAUAUAUUGAAUUUUAAUAAUCAAUUAUUGUAAUACAAUGAAGUUAUCUACGUCCAUUUCAUUCAUAACACUGGUAACAUAUAUAACAGCAGUCCCUCAACCAGACACAAACAUCCAAAUCCAACAUUACGACGGCCCCGUGUACCUCGGCACUCCAGCGCCAAACUGCUGUCCCUUCUGCAAUUCGAUAAUUAAACCCAUAGACGGAAAAGAAUGCGAAACACCAGAAAACUGUCCACAAAUCUAUGGAAACACAUAUGAAAACGAACCUUAUGGUAUAACUAUAUCUUUAGAUGCAAAAGACCCAUGUGAAAAUGACAAAAUAGCGCUUGGAAAGAUCAAUUUGGGAGCAGAAAACUGUAAACCUAUGCUACAUACAUCAAUCCAUAAUAUUCCAGUCAAUUGUAAAAACGAUGGAAAUACUUGGUCACCGUUUGGAACUUCGCCUUGUACGGAAUGUAAACCGUUGUCGAAUUACCUGCCUAUAAACACAGCGUGCCAAAAUACUUGCCAAGUACCGAUACUCACGUACAGUAACAGUGGUACGAGUACCAAUGAGGAACCGGUACUUGUUCCGCAAAAGUUUAUGUACUCGUUGAUACUCGAUGGUGAGGUCGGUACGAAUCAGAAUGGGUGUGAUAGCAGGAUGUAUUAUUAUUGAGUUUGUGUUAAGAAUUCAUUGUCAUUUUUGCUUGUUCAGAGUUUCAUAUUACUUUUAGGAUAUCAUAUGAAGCGUGAAUAAUGUAAUGUUUAUUAAAAUGCCAAACACAGUAA